This 490-nucleotide ribosomal RNA is filed under the name uncultured bacterium. Its description in RNAcentral is "partial 16S ribosomal RNA". It matches the Rfam family "Bacterial small subunit ribosomal RNA", at positions 30 to 507 of the family's 1533-position model. The record is from RNAcentral.
AUUGAACGCUGGCGGCAGGCCUAACACAUGCAAGUCGAACGGUAACAGGAAGCAGCUUGCUGCUUUGCUGACGAGUGGCGGACGGGUGAGUAAUGUCUGGGAAACUGCCCGAUGGAGGGGGAUAACUACUGGAAACGGUAGCUAAUACCGCAUAACGUCGCAAGACCAAAGAGGGGGACCUUAGGGCCUCUUGCCAUCGGAUGUGCCCAGAUGGUAUUAGCUAGUAGGUGGGGUAACGGCUCACCUAGGCGACGAUCCCUAGCUGGUCUGAGAGGAUGACCAGCCACACUGGAACUGAGACACGGUCCAGACUCCUACGGGAGGCAGCAGUGGGGAAUAUUGCACAAUGGGCGCAAGCCUGAUGCAGCCAUGCCGCGUGUAUGAAGAAGGCCUUCGGGUUGUAAAGUACUUUCAGCGGGGAGGAAGGGAGUAAAGUUAAUACCUUUGCUCAUUGACGUUACCCGCAGAAGAAGCACCGGCUAACUCCGUG